GCCUCUGUGGAUCUAUGGGAGAUCACCUCAGUGUUGUUCGGAAGAGCUCGCCUAGAAUAUAUGUGAGGAGAUGUGGGUUCGAAUCCCACCGGAGGCA
Non-coding RNA from Mycena filopes, 97 nucleotides. The record is from the annotation of a GenBank genome assembly. Lineage: Eukaryota; Fungi; Basidiomycota; Agaricomycetes; Agaricales; Mycenaceae.